AAUUGUAUGGAUCAGCUUGGCGUUGUACCUAGAAGCUUCAUAGAGAAUCUUGCUGAGACUAAGGACAGGUUUAAGAAAUUUCUCCUCAAAGAAGGCACAUCAGAAAGUCGUCAGAAUCAGAACAAGAGGCUUUUGAAUGAAGAUGCCUUCUUGGCUUUAAUCCUGCGUGUGACAGAGCAAGGCUGAACACUGUAAUGAGGCUACAUUUUGUUCUUUACAUGAAUUGAUUGCUGGGGAAGAUGUCUGAUUGACAGCCCAAGGGAAAGAUCAGGUACUGUGUGCGCAGCAUCUAAAGUAACCUUUUGCUUCUUGUUGCCCACUGCGAAUGUGCUUUCCUGAGCUGGAAAGGAAGAUAGCAAUUCACUUUAAGUGCAGGUGCAAUCCUUGGCUUUUGCGCUGAGAUUACAGACAGUGAUGCUGUUGGGAGAGGUGCCUUAAUGAUGUAAAGCUCAAAUGAAAUGAUUGGUAUCUCCUCCCCUUGAAAAGCUACCUCUAUUUUGGGCAUGCUGAUUUUUAUGGUAGGUGAGGCAAAUAUCUCCAUAACUCAUCAUCAGUGCUCUGACUUAGCUAGUAGUUGGCGGUAACAAAUCAUUAGGCAGCCUCACUACCUCAGCUUGCAGUUAAUGAGAGCAAGAAAGAAUUAAGAGCAGGUCAAACCAGGGGCCUCGAGAACAGACACUCUCUCAUGGUCCAGAUUGGGCGCCGAAAGGAAGAGAUGUGCUGAUUAGGCAACACUGCUAACUGUUGACAGGGGACAUGAUGGCCUCCUAUGGGGACUGUACUUUGCAAUAAACCUGGGCUCUUUUCCCCUCUGGCUACCGGAGGAAAAAUGUUCAAGUUAGGACUGGUGCAGUCAGAGGGACAUAUGACAGGUUAAAUAUGAUGCAGUUCUGCAUCUCAGGAUGGACUGGAGCCCAGCUCCUCCAGUUGUGAUCACACCCCGAUACUAUGCAUGGUCAAGUACGUAUGUGUGACUGAGAGUUCUGUUCGGUGCUGUAAUAAAGUGCAGGGCUCUGAUUUAUGUUUUAGUCUGGAUUAAAAGCAGAAAAACUGAAAGGCAAAAGUGGUUGGAAGGGAUUUCAUUACGGUGCCACAUUAAUGUUAAUUCUUACGGUACCACAAAACACAGCAUGUGUACAGUUUAACAGCUGCAUAAACAAUUGAUAUUUCCUGAUUCUUUAUAGAAAACUUCUGUCUGUACUGUUCCAUUAACUUAGUUUUAAAACUUUUAAACCUUCAUGUUACAAGCCUGAGCUGAUCCAAUAUGACCUGUAUGAGCUGUUGCUUUUCUCAUAGAAACCACAAACACAGUUAUGUAUCUCAGCUGUGAAACAGUCUUAUUUACUGCUGAUCAUGAGCUAUGGUUUUUGCCAAGUAGUGGCGACACUUCCACAGAUUUCAUUUUGUGACUCACACAGGCUCUAAAAUACCAUAUUCUCUAUUUGGGGCUUUCUGAGAAAAAUGCAUCACGCUUGGAAAAUGUUCUCAUUCAGGAAAUGACUGCUUUGCCACACUAUUUUUUAAGCAUGGAUAUUGCUACUGGAAAUAAGAAUUGUUUAUUGAGGAUCCAACAAGAAGCUACCAAGACGGUGAAGGACUAGCUAAGAUGGACAUGAUCUCCAAGAUGAAGCUGAGGGAGUUGGGUUUGUGCUGUCUGGAUGUGGGAGGCACCAGCAAAUCGCUGCCUUCAGCUACAUGACAAGUAGUUACACAGAAGAUGGUUCUAUAUUGUUUUUAGUAGUACCAGAUGACAGACUAAGGGAAAAGGGCCUCAGGUUGUAGCAUGGCAGGUUCAGGCGUGUUAGAAAAAGCAUCUCUGGGAUGAUGGGCAGCAUUGGAGCAUGUCAACAGAGAUAAGGAACAAUCUCCAUCCUCUGAGGUUUGCAAAACUUGCAUGUAUGUGUUGACAACAGGCCUUGCUAAAGCAAGAGGCUGGACUGAAGACCUGCAAGAGGUCUUUUCAGUUUCUGUGAUUUCAUGAAAAACUACUGAAUUGCUUGGGUGAUGGGGGACAUGUACUUUAGGUUACAAGUGAUGACUCAUGUCAUAAAGAAACAGUGCUGUAUUGCCUGGAGAAAGGGAAGAGGAAUGGUAGGAGGGAAAUAGGAGGUGAAAUGGAAAAAUAAAUGACUACUUUCUCUGAAGUGCACAGCUGGCAACUGAAACCCUCCUCUAUGAGGUGUGGGAUCGCUGGGAGCCCCAUGUUCUCUGUCCUGUCUGCAGCUGCUUAAGGUUGAUGGCAUGAAAUUGUGCAGCAAGCAAUUUGGGUUAGCGAGGAGGGAAGCCUCCCUGGAUCUACAGCCUGUCUGCUUGUUGGGUGCUCAGAUGAGCUGUUCCUCUUUGCCAGCCCUUCAGAGCUGCUCUGAGUGACUUCAGCUCCCGGGAGGCUUGUUGGAGCUCACAGACACGCACACGGCCUGCUGGAGGAUGGAGCCUCCUCAGGGAAAUCUUAACCUCUCUGGCGCUGAGGUGCUUUGCAGCCUGAGGCUAUGAGCUGUUGAAUAACAUUAUAAUGGCUUCUCGACAUGGGCAGGUUGGCCUGCUUUGAAAGUAUAAUAGAGCAAUUCUACCGUAAUUCCCUCAAAAUUCUCAGUGGUACUUAUUUACCUGGUACGCAUUCAAAUAUAUCGAAGCAUGAGGGAGAAAUUACCAUAUUAAGGCACGCCUCAUGGCUCCUGCUGUUCCAUUUCUUCUUUCUAUCAAGUACCAGUGGAAUAUCUGCCAGGUUUUUGAUCUCUCUUGAAUUCAUAGGGGAGAGCAGCUGUUUUUUUUGUUAGACCUUGAAUUGCCACUUUACCUUAAAAAAAAAAAAAAAAAGUGAAUGAGAAGCCUUGUAUAGCUUCAGACAUAAGGUAGGAACCUGAAUAUUUUAAAACCGGCUUUUUAAAAAAAUUCAUUGUGCCACAAUCAGCAUGUGAAAAGAAAUAGUGGAGUGUCUGCAAAGCUGAUGGAUUUCCUGUGGGUAUUUUCAGCUAUCCUCCAUCCACUGAAAACUAGGGCAAAUUACAGCUGAAACAGGGGAGGGUUAGGCUGAAUUAAGAUGUGAAUUUUGUUAAGCAGGUGGAUAUCUGAUUGUGGACUAUGGGCAUAGGUUGGUAGGAAUAAAACAAUAUUAAAUGGUGUUCCUGACAAUAGAAGUGGGACUUUAACAUAACUGUUAUUAUCAGAUUGUGGUAAAAUGACUAUAAAGGCCGUAAUGUGCUUGGAAAAUGUAAGAGCAAGAGUUGUGUUCUGUUGAGAAGGAUGCAAAGCAGUGCUGGGAAAUAUCUCCAGUGAAAGGAGUGGUUUCUCAUGCCUGCUUUAAACUAAGCAGUAUGAAAUACGAUGCAUUACAGUGGAUUAGAUUGGUGUCUAUAUAUCUGAUAUAGUAAAAGAGUAAAGGGGCAUGGACAAGUCUCGAUGCUCUGAAUAACAGAGCAGAGACUGCUGAGAGAUGACCACGUUACUGGUAAUUUGAGUGAUCUGAGCUGCAGGUGUUGGAUGCACCUAUAUCUUGGUGUGAAGAAUCUGCUGUAAAUGUCUGCAUUGGUUAAAUAACUCUUUUU
Oxyura jamaicensis (ruddy duck) is the source of this 3545-nucleotide long non-coding RNA. RefSeq lists it as uncharacterized. The record is from RefSeq and is a predicted model, not a curated record. The transcript is spliced from 2 exons. NCBI's taxonomy places the organism in Eukaryota, Metazoa, Chordata, Aves, Anseriformes, Anatidae.